Long non-coding RNA from Octopus sinensis (East Asian common octopus), 168 nucleotides. RefSeq lists it as uncharacterized. NCBI's taxonomy places the organism in Eukaryota, Metazoa, Mollusca, Cephalopoda, Octopoda, Octopodidae. The transcript has 3 exons. The record is from RefSeq and is a predicted model, not a curated record.
UAAAUAUUUUUGUUAUGCGCCAUUUUCAAGCCUAUCCAGGUUCAUGGGCCCGGUUUCCCGGUUCCUUUGGCACAUGUGUUCCCCCCGGCUGGACGGGACGCCAGUCCAUCGCAGCGUUCCUCAAGAAACAGAAAGAAAGAGUGAGAGAAAGUUGUGGCGAAAGAGUAC